CUAGAUUCAACUUAAAUUCUAUCGAUACCGUUAAUCAAACACAAUAUAAAUUUUAUCCCAAACUUCAUCCCGCAUAGUAAACAACACCCUCAAUGUCAGACAAAAAUAACACUACAAUCCUAAAAUAAGUUAUCCCGCCAUUUUAUCCCAACAAGACAUGCGAUAAACUCAUCCUAAAAUUAAUCUCGACAUUAGUUAUCCCCUCUAUAUGUAAUAAACACUAUAACCCCGGG
Molecule: unclassified non-coding RNA, 233 nt
Filed under: Hevea brasiliensis (rubber tree)
Lineage: Eukaryota; Viridiplantae; Streptophyta; Magnoliopsida; Malpighiales; Euphorbiaceae
Source: RNAcentral